GUACACGCUGUGACUAGCAUAUCAAUAAGCGGAGGAAAAGAAACUAACAAGGAUUCCCCUAGUAACGGCGAGUGAAGCGGGAAGAGCUCAAAUUUGAAAUCUUAAAGGGUUUCCCUUUACGAAUUGUAGUUUAAAGAAGUGUUUUCUGUUGAGGUUUUGGUAAAAGUUCUUUGGAAUAGGACAUCAUAGAGGGUGAGAAUCCCGUAUUUGACCUUUACUUUCAACUUUGUGAUACACUUUCAAAGAGUCGGAUUGUUUGGGGAUGCAGUCCAAAAUGGGUGGUAAAUUUCAUCUAAAGCUAAAUAUUGGCGAGAGACCGAUAGCGAACAAGUACCGUGAGGGAAAGAUGAAAAGAACUUUGAAAAGAGAGUUAAACAGUACGUGAAAUUGUCAAAAGGGAAGCGUUUGACACCAGUGUUGUUUUUCUGAAAAUCAAUUAAAGAACUGUUUAUGCUAAGCUGUUUAGACUUUAUCAGCUAAUCUGUUUAGUUUUGAGCUUUUCUUUAAUGCACUUUUCAGUUAACAAGUCAACAUCAAUUUCUUUUGCUGUAAAAAAGCUUGAGGAAGGUGGCUUGAGAUUCGUCUUAAGUGUUUAUAGCCUCUUGCCUAUGCAGUCGGAGAGAUUGAGGUCUGCAGCGUAGAUCCUUCGGGGCUAAAUGCAUUUGUGCUAAGUUAUAGCAUUUUAUAGACAACUUGUUGACUAUGAUUUGUCUUGUAGCUUACUCGCUUAUGUUAUUUUACCUACGCUUAGGAUGUUGAGUCGUAGAGCACGCAG
This 775-nucleotide ribosomal RNA is filed under the name uncultured Neocallimastigales. Its description in RNAcentral is "partial large subunit ribosomal RNA". It matches the Rfam family "Eukaryotic large subunit ribosomal RNA", at positions 22 to 628 of the family's 3401-position model. The record is from RNAcentral. Lineage: Eukaryota; Fungi; Neocallimastigomycota; Neocallimastigomycetes; Neocallimastigales.